GGAGGUGGGCGCAGAGGGCUCCCUACCAGCUUUGGUCUCGAUGCUGCUCUCGAUGGAAAUGCAGUUGGCGCCCGUGUAUCCCGGGGGACACACACAUUGGCCGUUGACCCAAGUGCCUCCAUUUUCGCAUUGCCCUGGAAAAGACAGUGUGAGAUGGGACUGGGAGGUGUGGGGUGAGGAAGCUGUUCUGGGUGCAGCUAAGGGUGGGAGGGGUGGUACCUGGGGUGGUGGUGGUGGUUGGGCUCGUGGUGGUCCUGGUGGUAGUAGUGGUGGUAGUUGCACGUGUGGUGGUGGUGGUCGUUGUCUUGAUGGUGGUCGUUGUGGUGGUAAUGGUGGUGGUUGGGUGCAUGGUGGCUGUGGUUGUUGAGUGGGUGGUGGAGGUGGGGAGUGUGACGGUGGCAUUGGUUGGCUGAGCAGAGGUGGUGCUCAUGGUGGAGAGCACGGUGGUCCUGGUGUUUGGCUGGGUGGUGCUUGGCUGGCUGGUGGUAGUGGGGAGCGUGGUGGUUGGCAGAGUGGUGGUGGUCUUGGAGAGCAUGGUAGUGCUGGUGGUGAGGAGAGUGGUGGUGCUGCUUGGCUGGUUGUUAGUGGUAGUGGCUGUUUGUCUGGUGGUGCUGCUGAUCAUGGACGUGGUAGUGCCAGUGAUCGUGGGAGCAGUGGCGCUGGUGCUUGUGGUAGCAGCAGUGCUGGUGCUCAAGGGAGAUGGAGUUAUUGUACUCAUGAGUUCAGACGCCUCAGUGCUUGUGGUAGCAGUGGUGCUGGUGCUGGUGGGAGCAGUGGUGCUGGUGCUAAUGGCAAUAGCGGCGCUCGUGGGAACAGUGGUGCUGGUGCUCAUGGCAAUAGCGGUGCUCACGGGAGCAGUGGUGCUGGUGCUGCUCGUAGGUCCUGUUGUCUCAGUGCUGAUUGGAGCAGUGGUGCUGGUGCUCAUGGGAGAAGUUGUGCUGCUAGUCACGGGAGCAGUGGUUUUGGUGCUUGUGCUAGCAGUGGAGCUAGUGCUUAAGUGAGAAGUAGCUAUUGUACUCGUUUGUCCGGACAUCUCACUGUUUGUGGUAGCAGUGGUGCUGGUGCUAGUGGGAGUAGUGGUGCUGCUGCUCGUGGGAGCAGUGGUGCUAGUGCUCGUAGGUCCUGUUGUCUCAGUGCUGAUUGGAGCAGUGGUGCUGGUGCUUGUGGGAGCAGUGGUGCUGGUGCUUGUGGUUGCAGUGGUGCUGGUGCUCACUGGAGCAGUGGGGCUGGUGCUGGUGGGAACAGUGGUGCUUGUAGUUAUGGUAGCAAUUGCGCUCGUGCUCAUGAGUCCGGAUGUCUCAGGGCUUGUAGUAGCAGCGGUGCUGGUGCUCAAGGGAGAAGUUGUUAUUGUACUAGUAGGUCCGGGCAUCUCAGUGCUUGUGGUAGCAGUGUUGCUGGUACUCAUGGGAGCAGAGGCACUGGUGCUGGUGGGAGCAGUGGUGCUGGUACUCGUGGGAG
Molecule: long non-coding RNA, 1458 nt
Filed under: Anas platyrhynchos platyrhynchos (common mallard)
Lineage: Eukaryota; Metazoa; Chordata; Aves; Anseriformes; Anatidae
Description: lncRNA (ENSAPLG00000023207.1)
Source: RNAcentral